AGCGUAGACGGAGCAGCAAGUCUGAUGUGAAAGGCGGGGGCUCAACCCCCGGACUGCAUUGGAAACUGUUGAUCUUGAGUACCGGAGAGGUAAGCGGAAUUCCUAGUGUAGCGGUGAAAUGCGUAGAUAUUAGGAGGAACACCAGUGGCGAAGGCGGCUUACUGGACGGUAACUGACGUUGAGGCUCGAAAGUGUGGGGAGCAAACA
RNAcentral lists this ribosomal RNA (207 nucleotides) under uncultured bacterium. Its description in RNAcentral is "partial 16S ribosomal RNA". It matches the Rfam family "Bacterial small subunit ribosomal RNA", at positions 568 to 774 of the family's 1533-position model. The record is from RNAcentral.